Molecule: transfer RNA, 69 nt
Filed under: Marmota monax (woodchuck)
Lineage: Eukaryota; Metazoa; Chordata; Mammalia; Rodentia; Sciuridae
Description: tRNA.Ala
Rfam family: tRNA (bases 6-66)
About the family: Transfer RNA (tRNA) molecules are approximately 80 nucleotides in length. Their secondary structure includes four short double-helical elements and three loops (D, anti-codon, and T loops). Further hydrogen bonds mediate the characteristic L-shaped molecular structure. tRNAs have two regions of fundamental functional importance: the anti-codon, which is responsible for specific mRNA codon recognition, and the 3' end, to which the tRNAs corresponding amino acid is attached (by aminoacyl-tRNA synthetases). tRNAs cope with the degeneracy of the genetic code in two manners: having more than one tRNA (with a specific anti-codon) for a particular amino acid; and 'wobble' base-pairing, i.e. permitting non-standard base-pairing at the 3rd anti-codon position.
Source: RNAcentral
GAAAUUGUGGCUCAGUGGUAGAGUGCUCGCCUAGCAUGCAUGAGGCACUGAGUUUGAUCCUCAGCACCA